CGGAGAGUUUGAUCCUGGCUCAGGAUGAACGCUGGCGGCGUGCUUAACACAUGCAAGUCGAACGGUGAACAUGGAGCUUGCUCUGUGGGAUCAGUGGCGAACGGGUGAGUAACACGUGAGCAACCUGCCCCUGACUCUGGGAUAAGCGCUGGAAACGGCGUCUAAUACUGGAUAUGUGACGUGACCGCAUGGUCUGCGUCUGGAAAGAAUUUCGGUUGGGGAUGGGCUCGCGGCCUAUCAGCUUGUUGGUGAGGUAAUGGCUCACCAAGGCGUCGACGGGUAGCCGGCCUGAGAGGGUGACCGGCCACACUGGGACUGAGACACGGCCCAGACUCCUACGGGAGGCAGCAGUGGGGAAUAUUGCACAAUGGGCGCAAGCCUGAUGCAGCAACGCCGCGUGAGGGAUGACGGCCUUCGGGUUGUAAACCUCUUUUAGCAGGGAAGAAGCGAAAGUGACGGUACCUGCAGAAAAAGCGCCGGCUAACUACGUGCCAGCAGCCGCGGUAAUACGUAGGGCGCAAGCGUUAUCCGGAAUUAUUGGGCGUAAAGAGCUCGUAGGCGGUUUGUCGCGUCUGCUGUGAAAUCCGGAGGCUCAACCUCCGGCCUGCAGUGGGUACGGGCAGACUAGAGUGCGGUAGGGGAGAUUGGAAUUCCUGGUGUAGCGGUGG
This 668-nucleotide ribosomal RNA is filed under the name Microbacterium sp. C-08. Its description in RNAcentral is "bacterial SSU rRNA". It matches the Rfam family "Bacterial small subunit ribosomal RNA", at positions 1 to 684 of the family's 1533-position model. Lineage: Bacteria; Bacillati; Actinomycetota; Actinomycetes; Micrococcales; Microbacteriaceae. The record is from RNAcentral.